This 128-nucleotide small RNA is filed under the name Arabidopsis thaliana (thale cress). RNAcentral describes it as "ATSL119770". The record is from RNAcentral. Lineage: Eukaryota; Viridiplantae; Streptophyta; Magnoliopsida; Brassicales; Brassicaceae.
AUGAAAUGAUUAUUUAAAUGAUAAUGGAUAAGAUUAACGCAGAUUUUAUUGGAUAAAAUCGUCGUCAAUCUUUGUUGUUCAUACAGUUAUCCUCAAAUUUUGCAUGUAAUCUUACCUUAAAAGAAAUU